GACGAACCGUGCGAACGUUAUUCGGAAUCACUGGGCUUACAGGGUGCGUAGGCGGCUCAACAAGUCAGGUGUGAAAGCCCCCGGCUCAACCAGGGAACUGCGCUUGAAACUGUUAGGCUCGAGUCAGCUAGAGGUACACGGAACUUCCAGUGGAGCGGUGAAAUGUGUUGAUAUUGGAAGGAACACCGGAGGCGAAAGCGGUGUACUGGGGCUGGUCUGACGCUGAGGCACGAAAGCCAGGGGAGCGAACGGG
Molecule: ribosomal RNA, 253 nt
Filed under: uncultured bacterium
Lineage: Bacteria
Description: partial 16S ribosomal RNA
Rfam family: Bacterial small subunit ribosomal RNA
Source: RNAcentral